GCCUAGUUAGCUCGGUGGGUAGAGCAUCUGCCUUCUAAGCGCUAGGCCGCGGGUUCGAUUCCCGCUGGGCG
Molecule: transfer RNA, 71 nt
Filed under: Diaphorina citri (Asian citrus psyllid)
Lineage: Eukaryota; Metazoa; Arthropoda; Insecta; Hemiptera; Psyllidae
Rfam family: tRNA
About the family: Transfer RNA (tRNA) molecules are approximately 80 nucleotides in length. Their secondary structure includes four short double-helical elements and three loops (D, anti-codon, and T loops).
Source: Rfam by way of RNAcentral